RNAcentral lists this ribosomal RNA (422 nucleotides) under uncultured eukaryote. RNAcentral describes it as "SSU rRNA". It matches the Rfam family "Eukaryotic small subunit ribosomal RNA", at positions 592 to 1018 of the family's 1831-position model. The record is from RNAcentral.
CAAUAGCGUAUAUUAAAGUUGUUGCGGUUAAAAAGCUCGUAGUUGGAUUUCUGCCGAGGACGACCGGUCCGCCCUCUGGGUGAGUAUCUGGCUUGGCCUGGGCAUCUUCUUGGAGAACGUAGCUGCACUUGAUUGUGUGGUGCGGUAUCCAGGACUUUUACUUUGAGGAAAUUAGAGUGUUUCAAGCAGGCAUACGCCUUGAAUACAUUAGCAUGGAAUAAUAAGAUAGGACCUCGGUUCUAUUUUGUUGGUUUCUAGAGCUGAGGUAAUGAUUAAUAGGGAUAGUUGGGGGCAUUUGUAUUCAAACGACAGAGGUGAAAUUCUUGGACCGUUUGAAGACAAACUACUGCGAAAGCAUUUGCCAAGAAUGUUUUCAUUAAUCAAGAACGAAAGUUAGAGGUUCGAAGAUGAUUAGAUACCGU